Long non-coding RNA from Tupaia belangeri chinensis (Chinese tree shrew), 337 nucleotides. RefSeq lists it as uncharacterized. The record is from RefSeq and is a predicted model, not a curated record. Lineage: Eukaryota; Metazoa; Chordata; Mammalia; Scandentia; Tupaiidae. The transcript is spliced from 3 exons.
UCCUUCCGGGAUUGUGGGGUUCUUUUCAUCUGCAUGGAGUCCUCGUGUCCUUUGCGGCUGCUUUGAGGCUCUGUGACGUGCCAGACAGGGACAGGGACCCGUAGGAAGGACGCGGGGACCCCCUAGAAGCUGAGAUAUGGACCCAGUGGCCUUUGAGGAUGUGCUUAUGAAUUUCACAAAGGAGGAGUGGGCUUUGCUAGAUCCUUCACAGAAGAAACUACAGAGAUGUGAUGUGAGAAACUCUCAAGAACCUGGACUCUGCUGGAAUAAACUUGGGAGAGCAGAAUAUUGCAGAUCAGUACCAAAACCCCAAGAAACAGCUAAGGUAAUUUGUACU